AUGGGGUGAAAGGGUUAAUGCUGUUCUGGACUCAACUCCCCUCGAUUCUCCGGUCACCACAUCAAUUGACGGGAGUUCUUGUUUAGCAAAUUAAGACACAGACACGAAAGAGUGCUUAACAAGUUCUCAGUGAGUAUAUUUUCAGGUCUAGCAUUUAUACACAGUUUGUCACUCAAGCAGCGAGAUUUAUCGUUUCCUUGUAGUUAAUAGUACAUACUUGUCUGACAUUAAAAGAUAAGCAUUUGAAUAAAGACGGGACAGGAACAUCCUGAGGUCGAGCAAGGUCAUACAUCCUGUAGAAGGGAGGCCUCUCAAAAGCAUGUUAUAGAAUACAUCAAGGUCAGCAUAAUUAUUUCAAACAUUAUUUUAAAGCAUAUAAAGCACAAAGAGUUAACUAUUUCAUAUCCUUACAUUCCCCUCUUUGAGAAAAAAAUUUGCUCAUAUUAUUGAUAAAAUCUUCCCAGGACAGAGAAACUUCCACAUGGUAUUUUCAGGGGUGCUAGUCAGUCCCUGCGGGACUUUCAUUAAUUUCUUCAACUCGAUUCCCAUGUGGUAAUUCCUAAGGCCCAGUUUUAAAGAUGGGUUGAUACCCUCCAGUGGCAGAGAGGAGAAUUUCCAAUUGUUUCUGUUCUGUAUUAUGGAUUAAUUUCUGUAUUCUCUUCCUCAAUGUACAAGUAAAGUUAUAUAGAAUUAUACAUAAUAAAAUCAGGACUAUAAUAACAAGAGAAUAGAAGAAUGAUUUCAUUAUCUGGGAUCCAGUAGGGGACCAACCAGUAAAAGCAUCGUACAAAUGAUGGGCUAAAUAAUUCUGAAUUUGUGAACUCACCUUAAGGAGUUCUCCUUUUAGGAUAUGUGUGGCUAUCUGUGUGUGUACUAUAGCAUCAUUAUGUGUAACAAGGAUGUGUAUUAAGGAGACAAUAGUCUCAAGAGGUAAAUGGUAAUCUUUAAAAGGCAGAGAACCUAAUAGGUCAUUAAUAUGUUUGUCUAAAGUGAUUGUGUCGCUGAAAUAAUAUUGGGUGCCAUUAAGAUCUAACCAGGUAACAUUAGUCAAACAUCCUGAAAAGGGGAGAGGUAGAUUAAUACUUGUAUUACAAGUAAUUAUCUUUGUAGGGAGGUUAGUUGCCAAACAGAUAUGACGUGUGCUUCAUGCUGGCCGUAUUUAACUUUUUCUUGAGGGUCUCCAUGUCUAUACUAUUUAGUAUACCCAUAGUGGUUCCAGCACCUCCUAACAGUGUGUCAUACCAUUCCCUUUUCUGCCUUUUAUUUGCUGUGUUACAUAAUGUUAAAACAGGAGUAGUGAUUUUUAAUUACACAUGUACAGCUUGUAUUAACACAUGUGGACGGAAUAGGUGUGUGUGUGUGUUGUUGUUGAAUUUUGGUUCUAUGGUAGAGGAUAAAGGACAGUAAUAAGGUGUAUAAGGUAGUGUACAGUUCUCAAUUGCAGUGUCGUUCAUAAUUACUAACAUUUGUCCCCUUUUCCAAUUAAUGGUACCAGUUGUAUAAUCAUUAUUAAAAGUAAUAAGGCCUGUCUGUUUACAUUGAUAUGCAACCUUACUAAUUUUCUUAAAAUAUAUAUCCCAAACCUGUUGAGGUGGUUUUUUCUUACCAUCAGAACUUAUAUUAAAUAAGGUAGCACAAAUACCAGUGUAAUUAGCAACCUUAAUUGUGCAAGCUCCUGUGAUAUAAGAUCUAACAAUUUUCCGUAAACCUUCAAACAAACAUAAUGCUUUGGUUUCAUUAGCUGUGGACACAUUCCAUAUGGGUAUUGGUACUUAUAAGGGUUAUUAUUUGUCCAAUUUAUCCAAAUGCAUUCAGUCAAUGAGUGAUUGCAUAUUACAUGCUGAUAGGUGGUGGAGAAAGAUUCUUGAGGGAGCGUGUGUGACGAAUGCUAGAUGAGGGGCUAAGGCCUAAUUGGGCUGGGGGUAUUGAAGAAUUGUUCAUCGUGUCAGAGUCUUUUCUCCAGAAACAAACAGGCGUCAAACUUCCCAUUGACUUGUACUCAUAAUGGCAUUCUAGGAACAAUAUCAGAGGGAGUAUAACAACUCCAGAAAGCAUAGCUCACAACAUAAUCUUGGUCUCAGGUACGUAUGAUCCUCUCAAUCUACGAUAUGGUGUGAAAGCCAUGAUGCUUCGCUAAGGGGAAAUUCUUCUGUUUCCGAGUGAGGAGUGGUGUUAUCUUCCUUGGUUCCCCUCUUUGGACACAGCUUCACUCGGGAUGCGUGAAUCCAGAUGUUGUGGGAAUGUGUGAGGACAGAGGUUCUGGUUACAGCAAUCACAGUAGCAGGUGGUCCGAAAGGGUAUCCUCCUUUCUUGGUCCUAUUCAGCUGAUGGAUAUACACCUUGUCACCAGGCUGGUAUGGAUGAGUAGGUUCCUGUGAAGGUAAGGGAAACUGCGAAGAAACAUUGCCUAGUAUACCAUUCAGUUUUAUCAACAAUUCCUGUACAUAUUGUUCUUGUAUUAGCUGUAAAUCCCCAGACAUUAUAACAAGCGGUUUCCUGGCCCAAGGUGUGGGAAAAGGUCGUCCCAUCAGAAUCUCAAAUGGAGAUAAUUUAGUCACCUUGUGGGGAGUCAUUCUUAUCUCAGCUAAAAUAGCUGGAAGAUAUUUGUCCAAUUUACCCAUGUUCCUGCAGUAGCUUUCAUAAGCUUCUCCUUAAUGGUCCUAUUCAUCCUUUCAACUACCCCUGAACUCUGUGGAUGAUAGGGUAUAUGAAACUUCCAGGUAACUUGCAAGAAUUUAGCAAGUUCCUGGGUAACCUUACUGUCAAAAGCUGGGCCAUUAUCAGAGUUAAUCUGCAGAGGGCAGCCAUACCUGGGAAUAAUUUCAGUAGCAAGAAUCUUCACUACAGUCCUAGCAUCUUCCCUAGAUGUCACAAAGGCCUCACGCCAUCUACUAAACUGAUCAACUAUGACCAGUAAGUAUUGCUGUUUCUUACCAAUUUUGGGUACAUGAGUAAAAUCAAUCUGUAAGUGUGUAAAAGGAGCAGCUGGAGGGGGCAAAUGUUCGUGCUGUGACUUGUGUGGAAUAUUAGGAUGUGUUCUCAUACAUGGUUCACACGAUCUUACAAAAGACUGUACAUGCUGCCUGAGAUUCCUAAUAUAAAAUGAAUUUAUGAGAAAUUGGAUGGUGCUUGCAAUGCUUUUGUGACCGGGACCAUGUGCCUGACUGAUGAAAAUAAAGCAGCUGGCUUCAGGUAUGCCUAUUCUCCCCUCUUUAGAGAAAAGAUCAUUCUGAUCUUUCUCUAAACCUUUUUUAAUCCAAAAAUCAAAGUCAGAUUGCGUUGCAAAGGCUUGGAGUUGCAAAAGCAAACUGUCAGUAGGGCAUGUGGGAGGUGUGAGCAUAGCAGGAAACAUUUCAUAGUAAAGAGUCUUGGCUGCAACUUCUUUUGUCACUUUGUCAGCCAAGGCAUUACCUCUGGAAAUGUUAUCACUACCCAGAGUGUGUGCCUUGCAGUGGAUAACAGCUACUUCAGAUGGGAGUAGGAUAGCAUCUAGGAGUGAUUGGAUGAGAUUUGUGUGUGAAAUGGCUUUUCCAUCGGCUCCUACAAAGCCUCUUUGUUUCCAAAUCACACCAAAAUCAUGCACUACCCCAUGAGCAUAUCGUGAGUCUGUGUAAAUGUUCACUCGCUUUCCUGUGAAAAGCUGACAGGCACGUGUGAGAGCAAUGAGUUCUGAAGCUUGUGCAGACAGCUGGAAAAUAGUGUCAGCUUCAAUGAUUUUAUCAGGUAACUGUACCACGGCAUAGCCUGUGAGGUCCGUACCGCCAUUUGGUCUGGAGCAAGAGCCAUCCACAAAGACAGUGGUCACAUCCUGGCCACUGAGUGCUGUGGAGGAGAGGUCUGCUCUGGGAGAUGUGGCAAUAUGUAUUUGUUCAAUGCAAUUAUGAGACUCAGAUUGUAUAGACACAGAAUCAGAUGCAGAAGUGAGAAUAUAUACAAAAAAUAGUAUAUACACUACAAAAUAGAAACGUAUAACUGGAAGAAUUCCUAGGUGUACCUCACAGACACCCAAGAAACAAUGUGAAAUAGUAAAAAGGUGGAAAACACCCAGAAUACAUGUAGGUUACUAUAUAAAAUAUACAACAACCUGAUGGUGAGUGAAAUCCAUAUGAAUUCUGUAUAAAAAUCAGAAAUCUGACAUAGCGUGAUACAGUAAAGGAGUUUUAACUUUAUAAAUAUAAAUGAUUAUAGAUGCACUCACAAACGCACGUGAAAUAGAGCUUCUCGCCCACUCAGGGGCAGUAUGUAAUCCGAUGGAUAAAUUAGAGAAUCACCUCAUAGGAUAUAUAAAAAUAAAGGAAAAACAGAAUAGUGAAGUUUGUUAUAAAAAGUACAAAAUCACAUUUAUUGGUCACACUUACAUGUGUGUAAAUCACAAAGAGCGUAUCUCUCAAUAACUUGAAUAGGGAUAAACAGGAGUAGUUAUAAAUGAGUAGCCAAAAUAUAAAUAUAUACAAAUAAAAAACAGUAAAAACAAUAUAAAGUAGGUCCAAUAUAGAAAUCCAACGCGUUUCGUCCUGUAGGGUGUAGGACUUCAUCAGGGAUACUUCUAUACUUCCAUUUCUCCGGUUUAAAUACCGGUAAAGAUCUCCUUUUGAUUGCGUUCAUCUGUUAUUCGGCGUGCGUUCCAUCUGUGGAACGCACAAAGACGCAAGGAUAUGACGAAAUUUGAAGAGACAGUUCCGUAUUCCUACUGCGCAUGCGCGCGAAAAGCGCGCAUGCGCACAUUAAAAAAAGAUCGAGACCUGGACGGGAUGUAAAACAGAAGACCAAAAAAACAGCCUGAGACAUCUGAACAACAGAAAUAAAUCAUUAGGGGCUGCAUUGGAGGGUGUAGGCAUGAAAUAAAGUUACACAUAUGUCUCUAAAUGGAAAAAAUAUAAAUAAUAAAUAAAAAAUAUAUAUAAGAAAUAAAAAUAAAAAUAAAAAUAAAAUAAAAAAUAAUAAUAAAAAAAUAUUAAUAAAAAUAAAAUGAAAUGAAUAAAAAAUAUAUGGUACUGAAAAAAUAUAAGAAAAAAUCUAUAUAUACAUAUAGACAUACAUCCUACAAUGACAACAUUGCAUGGAGUUCCAAGUUAUUGAGAGAUACGCUCUUUGUGAUUUACACACAUGUAAGUGUGACCAAUAAAUGUAAUUUUGUACUUUUUAUAACAAACUUCACUAUUCUGUUUUUCCUUUAUUUUUAUAUAUCCUAUGAGGUGAUUCUCUAAUUUAUCCAUCGGAUUACAUACUGCCCCUGAGUGGGCGAGAAGCUCUAUUUCACGUGCGUUUGUGAGUGCAUCUAUAAUCAUUUAUAUUUAUAAAGUUAAAACUCCUUUACUGUAUCACGCUAUGUCAGAUUUCUGAUUUUUAUACAGAAUUCAUAUGGAUUUCACUCUCCAUCAGGUUGUUGUAUAUUUUAUAUAGUAAUCUACACUUAUUCUGGGUGUUUUCCACCUUUUUACUAUUUCGCAGAAGUGAGAAUAGCAUUCAAAACAGACAUAGGACCAGAAUUAACAGGACUAUAGACAAUAGACAGAUUCUGGGUAUUAAGAAGAAUAAUCUCAUAACCACUUAAGCGCUGGGCUGUCAUGUGUUGUGUGGUGAGAUUUUUUAUAAGCUGAGUGACCUGGUGACUGGUAUGGAGUAUUGUAGGAUGCCCUAGUGUGAUAGUAGUAGCAGUCUCAACAGCCAUUGCACAUGCAGCCAAUGCUCUGAGACACGCCGGCAUACCCUGUACUGGAGCUGGAACUACUUUGGAAAAGAAUGCUAUGGGACGCAUACCGCCUCCGUGCUCUUGUGCACAGACCGCGGCCAUGGUUUUACAGUUGUCCCGAGCAUACAAAUGAAAUGGUUUACAAUACACAGGUAGUCCUAAAGCCGGGGCUUGCACAAUAGCAACUUUGAGGGCAAUAUAUGCAGCUAGCAUGUCUGGUGACCAGCAGACAUUUUCAGGGCUGUCAGAACGUACAGCCUCCCUUAGGAUUGAGUCAUAAUGGAAGCAUUCAGGAAUCCACCGGCGGCAGUAAUUAAUCCUGCCGAGGAAGGUGAGCAACUCCUUCCGAGUAGUGGGUUUAGGAAUCCUCUGAAUGACCUCAAAACGUUUUGGACUCAAUUGUCUGGUGCCUGAAGCCAGAACAAAACCUAAGUAAUCAACCUUUGAUUUACACAAUUGCAUUUUGUGUUUUGCAACCUUGUGACCCACAGUUGCUAAGUGUUUGAGCAAACUGACAAUAUCCACAGUGCUUUCCUCAUAGCUAGGGCUACAUAACAACAAAUCAUCAACAUAUUGCAAAAGGACCAGGGGUCCAUGUUUUUAGAGCAUGUUGGAGUACCAGCAAAUAAACGGCUGGGGAAUCCACAUAGCCUUGGGGUAAGCGUGUCCAGGUAAACUGACAGCCUUCAAAAGUAAAAGCCAUAAGUAGCUGUGUCUCUUGAUCAAUAGGUAUAGAAAAAAAUGCAUUACUUAAAUCAAUGACAGUGAAGCAAGUGGCAUCAUGUGGAAUGGCUGUAAUGAGGGAUAUCACAUCAGGGACAAUGGGUGAAAUGGGCAGAAUUAAACUAUUCAGGGCUCUAAAGUCCUGAACUAAGCGAUAACCAUUACCUUUAGGAACUGGAUUAAUAGGUGUGUUAUAUGGGGAAACUAUUGGCUUUAGUAUUCCCUGCUCUAGAAAAGAUUGGAUCAUGGGGCGAACUCCCUCAACCUUGGCUUCUGACAGGAGGUACUAUUUAAGGUAGAUAGGAGUUACAUCUGGUUUUAGUUUGGCUUUGUAAGGGGUGCAGUUGACAAAUCCUACAUCUAACUUAGAUGAAGCCCACGCAGAGGAAGGAACAUCAGACAAAUCAAUAGUUUCAGAACACAACAUAGACACAUCAAUACCACCAGAGGGCGUGCAAGUAAUGGUAGCUCCCAGAAUACCAAGAAGAUCCCUUCCCAGCAAACUAACAGAACAUUUAGGUAUUUGACGAAAAGGGUGCACAGUAGAAGAACCAUUAAGAGGACAGAAAACAGACAGUGGUGGUGUGACAAAAGUGGGUGUUGACACUCCAUUAAUACCCAAUGAAGGUGUAGACUUUUCCCUUGUCCCCUGAUAAUAGAUGUCACAGAGACUGGAACACGUAGCUCCAGUAUCUACCAAAAAUGGCAAGGAUCUACCUUCUAUGACCAGAAUGCAAAAAGGCUGAUCAUCAUUAGUAGAGGACAAAAGUGGAAAUGUUGGAGUGUCACCUCAAGGCAGCCCUAUUGGGGCCAUGGGAUGUUAUGGGUGUGCUGGUCAGUGGUACCUGUGAAUGGCCCUAGUGCAGUUUGGGUUUGCUGGAGCGAGGGGGGAGAGGGAAGUGCUGGCCAGUGGUGUUGGGAGUGGGCCUGGUGUUGUUCUUGCCUACCGGGCCUAUUUUGAGAAUUGUGGGGUUGUUGGGGCUGCUGGGGUUUCCUGGGGUGUGGACACUCAUUCCUCCAGUGUCUAUGCUGGACACAGUUGAAACAAGUGUUCCUGUCUAUUCCUCCUUGGUUACCCCUGCCCCUAUAACCCUGAUUUCCCUGUCUCCAUCCCCUUGCCCAUCUUUGACCACCCCUUCCACGGGCUCUAUGUGCUCCAUCCCAUCCUCUCUCUCGGGCCUGUGUAGGUGGACAGUGUUGCAAUCCCUGAGCAUAAUAAGCAACCUUACUUCCUGAAUCUUUUCUUAAGUCAAAACAACCUCUAUAACCUUGGUAAGAAAAGCUGAGCCACCCAAAUUGGCCCAGUCUGAAAUCAAUUGUUUCACAAGGAAUACUGUGGCAACAUAUUACCAAGGCAUGACUGUAUUUUAAGGAGAUCCAUAUCAUCUCCAGACUUCAAACCUGCCUCAUCCUUCCAACACUUGUAAAAUCUCUUUACAAAAAUACCAGUCUCUUCCUUUGCACCUUGCUUACAUGCCAAAGCAGUGGAUAUAGACUGCUUAUUCUUCCAUAAUCUCAACAUUUCAGCUCGUCCCACAUUUUAGCACAUCCUACUAAAGUACUAAGCUCAUAAACACCAUCACUACCAGCCUCUCCAACUCCAGUAUCAUUGUCUGUCUCACUGACAGAGGGUAUCCUAGACCAAUCCCAACCAGAAUCUGAGUCAUACCCUAAUAUUCCAUUUAUAAUUAACUGUAUGUCUAUCUGUGUCAUGCUCUGUCCUAAGCACAUUCUUUUCAGAUAAGUUAGGCAUGCAGAGGGAUUAGGCAUGCAGAGGGAUUAGUACGGGGGUUUGGGGCACCUUGAAUAUUGUCCUUGAGUACUCUGGGAUUAAUGGGUUUCAUUAUUAACUGAUUACCAACAGUCAUGAACGGGGCAGUAAGAUCAGCACCUUCUAAUUCUGGCAUCUCUACAUCAUCAUCACCUUGCUUAUGUACAUAUGAUUUUAACACCUUGCCACUUUUAAGUUUAACUCCCGUCCUGUUAAUGCUGUGAUUGUGAAUUAACAGCUGCAGCAAUACAAAUAUCUUCUAUAUCAUCCUCUGAGGGGGCAUUAGGUACAGCAGGAUACAUUGCAUUAUAGGGAGGUGUGGGUUGUGGUUGGGCAUGGCCAGGGGCUGACUGGGUAGGGGGCAGAAUUGGUGGUGGAUAUAGAUUUUCAGGAGGGGCUUCUAAGGGAAAGCGGAUGGUAUUACUGUCAACAGUUCCCUUUCUCUUAGCCAGGUCUUUCUUAGCUCCCCUUAAAACCUUUCCUGUUACACUACAAGGAAACCAAUGAGGGGCUAUCUGCAACCAAUUUUCACCUCCUGCUUUCAUAUACUCCUUAUCCCAAUCUGGAUCAGGACCAUACCACGGCCAUGACUUCCUAUCUCCCAAACACAAUCCUCGAAUCAUAUUCAUAUGGAAAUCAUUAUUAGCCCCACACCUGGGAAAAGGAUCAGAUGACUUCAUAGUCUGUGUCCAUCCUGCUAAAUUUGACACAAAGUGGAUUGUAAGAAAUCCUCCUUGUGCUCCUAUUCUAGUAACAUAAUUUAGACAUGACUCCCCUGGGUGGGGUAAAGGGUAAGAAAUAGACUGAUUAUUUCCCAUAUUUCUGGCUCAGGGUAGAAACACUACCUACUUACCAAUAGUGUGUCUCUACUUAACAAGCAAAAUAAACACAAAGCAGACACAAAGCAGACAGAGGAACAAGAAGUUUGGGUUAUUCUAGAUCUAUAAACCGUGUUUCCUAGAACACCUAUAGUCUCAAAACAUGUAUCUACCUGAGAUACCCUGUAUCUAUCUUAGAUACUAACCUGGGUUACCAAGAACCCUAUACUAGACCAACUGUCCAGUAAAAACUGGAGACCUAUUUACAGUCUCAAUAUAACUAAAGUCCUUACACCUUUCCUAUCUACUGGACACAACCUACUGAACCAAAGGGGGUCAUAGACAAUCAGCGUCAAUAAGACACAAAAAGGCUACUUACCCAAUGGUCCUGCUGUAAUCCCACUUCAAACACCAAGCUGAAAGGGUUAAUGCUGUUCUGGACUCAACUUCCCUCGAUUCUCGAUUCUCCGGUCACCACAUAAAUUGACGGGAGUUCUUGUUUAGCAAAUUAAGACACAGACAUGAAAGAGUGCUUAAUAAGUUCUCAGUGAGUAUAUUUUCAAGGCUAGCAUUUAUACACAGUUUGUCACGCAAGCAGCGAGAUUUAUCGUUUCCUUGUAGUUAAUAGUACAUACUUGUCUGACAUUAAAAGAUAAGCAUUUGAAUAAAGACGGGACAGGAACAUCCUGAGGUCGAGUGAGGUCAUACAUCCUGUAGAAGGGAGGCCUCUCAAAAGCAUGUUAUAGAAUAUAUCUGCCAAGGUCAGCAUAAUUAUUUCAAACAUUAUUUGAAAUCAUAUAAAGCAAAAAG
This is a non-coding RNA of Pelobates cultripes (western spadefoot toad), 9814 nucleotides long. The record is from the annotation of a GenBank genome assembly. Lineage: Eukaryota; Metazoa; Chordata; Amphibia; Anura; Pelobatidae.